UCAUAACACAUUUAGAGAAUUUUGUGUUUACGUUUUGAGGGUUCUUUGUUUUCGGGUUUUUGGGGUUUAGUUUUUAUCUCCAUCUUUUGUACUUUUCGUUCUUUUGCCAUUAUAGUAAAAUUAUCUUUGCUUGUGGUUUUUUUAUCCUCUUUGGAGGAGUUUUUCCACGUUAAAUUUAUGUGUUCACUUUCUCAAUUUAUUCUGUUAUU
This 209-nucleotide long non-coding RNA is filed under the name Gossypium barbadense (sea-island cotton). RNAcentral's name for it is "long non-coding RNA (GBAR_LNC012309)". The record is from RNAcentral. Lineage: Eukaryota; Viridiplantae; Streptophyta; Magnoliopsida; Malvales; Malvaceae.